AGACAGCAGAGAGCAAUGAAAAGUUCACCACGCAGUUUAUUAAUUGCUGCCUGAAAUACUUUUCUGAAACACAACGAGCUGCAAAUGAAUUCAUGGGCUAUUAAUCUGCUGUACAUGGCACUGGAGGGAAAGCUCAUUAGAGGAGCUCCAACAAGUAAAAACAGAAGACUCAAGGCCAUUGUAACAUCAGCUCUGUAAAAUGUCACAAACUCGUGCUAACACCCAGGAGAAGGACCUCUUGCAAAAACACCCACACUGGCACAAGCAGAAGGUGCAAGGCUGAAGAAGGCUGUUACGUGCUGCAAGAGGGCCAUCAGGAGGCCCUUGGGAAAUGACACCCUGGGCUGACAGGAGCAAAACUUGCCAAGCAGCAAAGCCACAAGCUGCUCUGCAUGGCUGUGGGAGGACUGAAACAGAUCUUAAGAAGCCAGUGCCAUCUUGCUUAUGCCCCUUGCCCCAGGAAGCCGUUUCUAGAACAUAGGGGAGAUAAUACAGCCUUAAAGCAAGCAUCUGUGAUUUUGUUCCUUUAGAAAACCUGGUGAAAUGACCCACGUAGAAGUUGUCACAUCCACACAGGUUGGCCACGUUGCACAGACAGCACAUUGCACUAUUUGGUCUUAAGUGACAGCAUCUAUGCCGCACAGUUAAGGACUCAGAAGUCAAUAAAGUACAUCUGAAGUUGUGUGCAAAGUUCAAACUCCCUUCUGUGCACAUGAAUACAGACACUGGCUUCAAUUGCGUAACUGUGUCAUAUUUUUCUUCCUUUGGGACUGUCAUAUAUACUUAGGAUAUGACAAACAAUAAAUUGCUUCCGAAGA
Cygnus olor (mute swan) is the source of this 818-nucleotide long non-coding RNA. RefSeq lists it as uncharacterized. The record is from RefSeq and is a predicted model, not a curated record. The transcript is spliced from 3 exons. Lineage: Eukaryota; Metazoa; Chordata; Aves; Anseriformes; Anatidae.